This 492-nucleotide long non-coding RNA is filed under the name Malus domestica (apple). RNAcentral describes it as "long non-coding RNA (MDOM_LNC014740)". Lineage: Eukaryota; Viridiplantae; Streptophyta; Magnoliopsida; Rosales; Rosaceae. The record is from RNAcentral.
CACUAGUAUCCCCCUCCUUGUUCAUCCAUAUUUUGAUCUACAACCAUGCAUCCUCUUGAGAUGGUAAGUAGAACUCCGGUGUUUCCAACAUCAUCACCUUCUUUAUGUUGUCUGCCUUUACUAACAAUGUUGCUUAUGGGUUUCCAUGAGCUUCAUCUUGGUAACUGGCUUCUUUCGUUUGUUUGCCAGUUAUCUUUAAUUUGCGGUUGUGCUCGAAGAGCUGAUCGGGGUUGGAUGUUGCAAUUGGCGACACGUUGAAUGGUUGUGGGCUUGGAAUUAGACGGAUCGAGAAACAGUAUUGGGGCGGCGAUAGCGGUAGAUUUUUCUGUUUUAUGUAGCUUUGCUUUUGUUUUGGAGCCUCAGCUGUCGGCUGGCCUUUUGUUUGGCCCAUUUUGGCUUGUUUAUAUAUUUUAGCUUUGGGCAUGUGGUUUGCUUAAGUUUGUGGUUUGUAAUAAAAGUAACUUUUCACCAAAAAAAAAAAAAAAAAAAAAA